RNAcentral lists this long non-coding RNA (1447 nucleotides) under Theobroma cacao (cacao). RNAcentral describes it as "long non-coding RNA (TCAC_LNC001468)". The record is from RNAcentral. Lineage: Eukaryota; Viridiplantae; Streptophyta; Magnoliopsida; Malvales; Malvaceae.
GAAAGUUCAAACAAGCUUACUUCAUGCAGCAUUUAACAACCAAAUGGAAAUACAAACAACAUGCUUCAAAUUCUAGUUAAUCAAGACAGUUUUGAACAUCUACUGUUUACCAUAUUCGUUCUUCAUAGUUGUCUGUUUUUUUUGUUCCUUGUGUUCAUGGACUUACUCAAGCUAUGUUCACUACUUUUGGUAUACAGUUUGCUUGAACUUGUGUUGUUGCUGGUAAGUAGAAGCAAAUGCUUCCAACUGUGUCCUGCCCCCCAUCCCCCCGGCAACUGCUUGAGGCGACAUCAGCAAAAUCCUGACCAACCAUUUUUGUUGCAAUGACUUUUAGGUUUUUUUUCUUAGUCAAAUGAAAUUUGUAUUAAAAUAAUGGAAACUACAGUGUAAAAUCAGCCCAUAUAUGAGGGUCAAGGCCAGGAUAUACAAUCAAGGUAUAGUACCAUUAAACAAAAGAUUCUCCUAUUGGUGCUUAAUUAGUUCCGCAAAACAAUGCAAACGUUUUAAACAAAUCAAAAUAUUAACAUAAAAUAAAAGGCAACAUCUCAAUUUAAUAAAAACAUCAAAAGUUACCAUUGUGCUGAAAAUGUCAUAUUGCUUUUAACUCCAAACUUCAUUAGGAAAUUUGUAAAAUAAUUUCCUUUUCAUAAAGAAUGGGUAAAGGACACCAUACCUAGUGAAAGAACAAGUGCAUCAACCUCGUUAAAUAAAUGCCAAUUGUCCCAUGGCCUCGUAUCAAUGUUAAUCACCUACGAUAAAGCAUUCUUGGAGUCAGAUUCAAUAAUCAACUUAGAAUUUACAAAGGAGGAACGGGAGAAAAGAAGCAGUGCAUGGAGAAUGGCCAUAAACUCUACAAAGUUGGAAUCUUGGAUGUCAAGUUUUUCAAAAUUAAAAUUAAUAAAUGUGUUGAUUAUAUUUUUAAUUAAAAAAAAUAUUAAAAAAUUUUGAUUAUAAAAACAUAAUUAAAAAUUUUACAUCUCAAAAUGUUAGAAGAAUAAAAUUUUAAUAAAAAAUAUUAUUUAAAUAUUUUUAUUUAAAACAUUUGAAGAUAUUGAGCCACUUUGUAUUAACGCCAUCACCUGCUCGCACCGGAACAUAAAUCGCAAUCUAGUAAGAAAGAAUAUUGCGAAUCAGUCUCGUUUUUUGUUGUUAAAAACCGAUUCAUUAUAAGCAAACCACAAGGUCCAAAAGUAGACAGCAUAAACUAUCAUCUACUGCUUGUGUGUCAUCUGCCAAGGCUCAACCAACCCAAGAUUGCAAAAACAAUAAACCAUGACAUGCCCCAGCAAGAAGGUUAGUUGGCUUACUGUUUUGGCUGACGAGUAGAUCAAUUAAGGAGCCGGUCCCCAUUCAUUCAUUGAUUCCCAGUCCUUGAUAACUGUCGAUCUGAUGACUUGUUAAUUAUUUGUACCAAGAUUUUCUUCCCCCAAAAGUUUUGAACCUCACA